AACAUCUUCCAGAUACAUACACACACACACACACACUUCAACCUUUAUUUUUUUCCACCUUCCUUGGGGGCAAAACCAUAAUUUAUUUAUUAUCUGUUUUGUUUUUUUGUUUUAAAACCCAUACUAGUUGUGAUUCAUAAAGAGGUGUUUUCAAAUGAUCACAUUGCAAUCACAUCAGCUGUUUCCUGAACCUUGAAAAAAUGUAUUUCUGGUGCUGCUGUAUUUUUGAUAAAUUUCCUGGAACUACUCUCAACAUUGUGCCACCACUUCGUUGUUCAAGAUUCCCUGAUGACUCGUUUUCGGGAGUGAUACGUAGAAAAAAUUUUCAGAGCAGAAGAAAAUGAUCAUGGAAGGAUAAAAGUUUUCAACAAAACCAGUAUGUGUAACCAAGGCCUUCCCACAGGAUUACCACCUGUAACAAAA
Molecule: long non-coding RNA, 423 nt
Filed under: Anas platyrhynchos platyrhynchos (common mallard)
Lineage: Eukaryota; Metazoa; Chordata; Aves; Anseriformes; Anatidae
Description: lncRNA (ENSAPLG00000021898.1)
Source: RNAcentral